UAAGUUGUAGAGAUCCAUCCAUCAUGAAUCUUAGCAAGCUAGUGGGAGCUAUAAGCAUCUUAUGAGAGAAAGAUCAAAUUGUUUGAUUUCUCAUAAAGAUGUAAAUGAAUCUUUUGUUUACUAGGUUUACAAAAGAUUAGUGGGAGUUAAUCAUGUUCCUAAAUCUGAAUAUAUAUAUACAUAUAUAUGAUAUAUUAAUUUUGGAAAUGAAAAGAAUACUUCUUCGUUAAAGUUAUGACUUUAAACAUUCUAUAACGAUAGAAUGUAUAUGGGAGACAUUGUCUAUAAACAUGGGAUGUAAAUCUAUAAUGAUAGAUUUCAAGAUAUAAUUUGAUUAUAUCAAUCCCUAAUAAUAGACAAUAAAUGCUAGGAAGUUUCUCAUAUGAUGAUAAACUUCAAUUAGAACGACGACUCUAGUGAGACUAGCAAGUUGCCCUUCUCAAAGGGAACGUACCCUUUUGACUCCUAAAGAAAUAAUGCGUAAAUAGAAUCCUUUAUGCAUACGCAGAAAGGUGAUUUAUGUAUUUCAUAUUGUAUGGAAACAUUGAUAUGAGUUGUACCUAGAAAGGUACAAGACGAUAUCAGUGCAAGCCCAGGAUCAGAGCCAUGGCAACUGUCAAGUGAGUCCUUGAGUAUUUAAGAAAUACUAAAGGAUAGAUUCCUCAAAGAAUGAGGAAGAAUUAGAGUAACGUAAUGGAAGCGUAAAUGUAUUAGAUUAUGAAUCUAAUCCAUCAUUGGAUAUUUCUUCAUUAUGAAUAAAGAGAUAAACAUAUAUCUCUUUAUUAUGACUAAAGAGAUAUUUGGAUGGAAACAUUAAAAGUAAUGACUUUAGUGUGUUCCAUUGUGAAUGCAAAAUAUAUUGCCAUAUAGAAGCUUACAACAAUGAUGUUUGGAUGGGAAAGUUCAUUUAUGAACUGUCUAUUCGGUUCCAACCAGAAAGUGUCUCUAGUGUACUGACACUACGACACUAAUAGGGCGAUAGCUCAAGCCAGGGAAUCAAGGUCUCAUCAAGAUCCGAACUCAAAUGAGAGACUGAACUACAUGAUUAAGAAUCAUGUAUAAUGGUGACGUCGUUAUUCUCAAGGUUGCUUCUAUGGAUAA
RNAcentral lists this long non-coding RNA (1101 nucleotides) under Malus domestica (apple). RNAcentral's name for it is "long non-coding RNA (MDOM_LNC000185)". The record is from RNAcentral. Lineage: Eukaryota; Viridiplantae; Streptophyta; Magnoliopsida; Rosales; Rosaceae.